ACGGGAGGCAGCAGUGAGGAAUAUUGGUCAAUGGGCGAAAGCCUGAACCAGCCAAGUCGCGUGCAGGAUGACGGCCCUAUGGGUUGUAAACUGCUUUUAUAAGGGAAUAAAGUGAGCUACGUGUAGCUUUUUGCAUGUACAUUAUGAAUAAGGAUCGGCUAAUUCCGUGCCAGCAGCCGCGGUAAUACGGAAGGUGCGAGCGUUAUCCGGAUUUAUUGGGUUUAAAGGGAGCGUAGGCGGCCUUUUAAGCGUGUUGUGAAAUGUCGGAGCUCAACUUCGGCACUGCAGUGGGAACUGGAGUGCUUGAGUGCGGAGGAAGUAGGCGGAAUUCGUCGUGUAGCGGUGAAAUGCUUAGAUAUGACGAAGAACUCCGAUUGCGAAGGCAGCUUACUGUCGCGUAACUGACGCUGAAGCUCGAAAGUGCGGGUAUCGAACAGGAUUAGAUACCCUGGUA
This 454-nucleotide ribosomal RNA is filed under the name uncultured Prevotella sp. Its description in RNAcentral is "bacterial SSU rRNA". It matches the Rfam family "Bacterial small subunit ribosomal RNA", at positions 341 to 792 of the family's 1533-position model. Lineage: Bacteria; Pseudomonadati; Bacteroidota; Bacteroidia; Bacteroidales; Prevotellaceae. The record is from RNAcentral.